UGUGAGCUCGCGCCGUUGUCGCGCAGGUGAGUCUUCGCAGCGCUGCGCCACAACGUGACCGCGCGGCGGAGUGACAACAAUCAGCCGCUCCAAAAUGACAAUGAAAUCGUGGUGGCAUUGUAUUGUUGUGAUUUUGUGAUGUGCCAAAAAUGAAGUGUGUAAGUGGCGAAGCCGAAGAACGGCUGUGCGGAAGCGCGCUAUAUCGGCAUAUGUUUGUAUGUAUGUCAAAAUAUAUACAUAUAUGUGUGUGUAUACAAAAGCAAAGUAAUUGCCCUAAAGCUCAAAGCAAAACCACAGUUGUCAGCAGAUAAUAGCAUUUGUUGAAUAUUCAUGAAUAUAAAAGAAGGAAAAAGUUGAAAUCGGUUGCAGCGAAACUGUAAUACCCUUCACAGGUGUAGUAUAUAUAACUAUAAGUAUAAAUAAUUCUGAAUGUUUUGAUAUAAACAACCAUCAAGUGGAAUUACGGAUAUUUAGUUGGGAAAAAACGUUUAUCCUGAUUUUGAUCGGUCAGUUUGAAUGGCAUCUGCAAUGGUUUAAACUGAACAAUUAGUUCAGAUUAUAACGUUGUCUUGUCUAAGCGAAAUUUCUUGAAGCCAUCGAGACAAAUAAAAGGUUUUCCAUGCAAGAGCUUGAUUUUAAGCAUUUCUAGUGUGGCCGGACAGACGGAAGGAUUAACAGUGAGAGAGUUGCAGCGAAAGUCUGGUUUACAUUAGCGGAACCGGAUUGCUGUAGGGGCAAGGAUAGUCAAAACGGCAGCAUUCUUCCAAAUUGCUUCAGAAAUGUUUUCUGUCGCCACAACAACAACAGAGAGAGAGAUAGUGCGCUUGAAUAUAUGCAAUAUCUUUUUACUACAAAGAAAAUUUAUUGCCUACAUUUAGGAGUGUUUGCAUAAAACGGUAUUAAGAAAACUUCGACUGUUUCAUACUACACUGGAAAUUGGAAGGGAUCUUGGUAGAAGAAAAAAUUCAUAACUUCUUAAUAAGUAAAGAAAGCUCUGAACGGAUUCGGUGCCAAUUUUAGCAUAUUAAAAUUUUUUCUGGAAAAUUUCAACCGAAGUAGCCUGCAGUGAUUUAAAUACUCGGAAAAGGCUGUUGACUUUUGUGUUGUAUUUAAGGAACGUAAAAAAUAAUUCGAGAAGACGAGGUGGCCAGAUUUCUUUGAAAUCAAUUAAAGUUAAUAUUAAAUGAGUUGGUUGAAAAUUCAUUUACCCUAAGUAAGCUCAUUUAAGCUAUAAAAAGAACUAUUAGCUUCACUCUCUCUAAUAUUGCUGUAGUCUCUAUUAAUAACCUACAAGUUUUUACUAUUAUAUUAUAUAAGUAUUUCACGUAUCUAUAUACAUAUGUAUAUAUUUUGUGAAAGUAGGCAUAUUUGUGCUAUUUUCGUUAAAGGUUGAAAAAACAAUACUAAUUUGUUUGGAAUCCAGUGGCGAGCAAUUUUUUAUUAUUUUUACUCACACUGCGGUGAAUGUGUAUGAGUGAUUAUGCAAUGGGCCUUUUAAUUAUUUUUAAUUUAGCACAAAAAUGUAUAUAAGUAUGUAUGUAUGUACCUUGAGUGAAACGUGAAUGCAUUAUUGCAAUUGUAAAUUGAGCAGAAAAUUAGUUUUUAACUUUCCUUUCAACAAUAUUUUAUUAUUAUUAGGGUGGUUUUUAUAUUUAACUGUAUUACGGCGCUAUUGUGAGACUAGCUGUAAGCUCUAAUGCUAAUGAGUGCUUAUCACAAGAAAAAUUCUGCUAAAAGAGGUAAUAAUAGGACAACCCGCUGCAAAUGAUAAAAUACGAAGAUACUUUUUCGACUACCCAAUAUUUGACAGUUGAGGUUUACCCAGUCUAGUUAAAUAAUUUUAGAUUUUAUAGGAGUUGAGUGUUCUUUUGCAACUCGCUUACGAAAAAGCAGCAAACGGUAAAGUUCAUUAAAAAUUUCAUGUUCCUUUACAGUAAAAAGUAAGGGAGAUCGCAUGCUUGUAUGCUGAAAUCCCAAAGUCUACAACUUCACGUACGUAUAACUGUUUACAUGUGCAAUAUUUGCGUUUAAUGGUCAAUAAUGAACUUCACACAGCACUACAUAUAGGCUUGAGGGCAUUCGCUACAUUAAAGCCAUAUGGCACACAUACAUACAAUCACACAUGUGCAUAUAUUUAUGUGGAAAACAUAAAAAAUAAAGUAGCUUCCCUAUAUUUUUGCUAUAUUUUUAAUAUUUGUAUAUGUAUAUGUACAUAAAUGUAUGUAUGUAUGUAUGCAGCUAUAAGCUGGAGAGUACAGAUAAGUAAUUGUUAUCUAAAAGCCACAACAAUAUGUACAUAAUUUAAGCGUCUAAUUGAUGGAAAACAGAUGCAACGGCAAAGUCAAUGUAUCUGCAUAAUUAUAUAUACAAUUUCGAGCCCUGUAGGAAAGUUUAC
Long non-coding RNA from Bactrocera neohumeralis, 2395 nucleotides. RefSeq lists it as uncharacterized. The record is from RefSeq and is a predicted model, not a curated record. Lineage: Eukaryota; Metazoa; Arthropoda; Insecta; Diptera; Tephritidae. The transcript is spliced from 3 exons.